This 158-nucleotide ribosomal RNA is filed under the name Pseudogymnoascus destructans. RNAcentral's name for it is "5.8S ribosomal RNA". It matches the Rfam family "5.8S ribosomal RNA". From Rfam's summary of the family: 5.8S ribosomal RNA (5.8S rRNA) is a component of the large subunit of the eukaryotic ribosome. It is transcribed by RNA polymerase I as part of the 45S precursor that also contains 18S and 28S rRNA. Functionally, it is thought that 5.8S rRNA may be involved in ribosome translocation. Lineage: Eukaryota; Fungi; Ascomycota; Leotiomycetes; Thelebolales; Thelebolaceae. The record is from RNAcentral.
AACUUUCAACAACGGAUCUCUUGGUUCUGGCAUCGAUGAAGAACGCAGCGAAAUGCGAUAAGUAAUGUGAAUUGCAGAAUUCAGUGAAUCAUCGAAUCUUUGAACGCACAUUGCGCCCCCUGGUAUUCCGGGGGGCAUGCCUGUCCGAGCGUCAUUAC